UUCGGGAAGCGAGCGUACACAGGUGCUGCAUGGCUGUCGUCAGCUCGUGUCGUGAGAUGUUGGGUUAAGUCCCGCAACGAGCGCAACCCUUGCCUUUAGUUGCCAGCAGUUCGGCUGGGCACUCUAAAGGGACUGCCGGUGUUAAACCGGAGGAAGGUGGGGAUGACGUCAAGUCCUCAUGGCCUUUAUGACCAGGGCUACACACGUACUACAAUGGCCGAUACAAAGGGCAGCGACACUGCGAGGUGAAGCCAAUCCCGUAAAAUCGGUCUCAGUCCGGAUUGGAGUCUGCAACUCGACUCCAUGAAGUUGGAAUCGCUAGUAAUCGUGGACUUCACGCACUGCCACGGUAGAAUAACGUUCCCGGGUCCUU
RNAcentral lists this ribosomal RNA (373 nucleotides) under uncultured Desulfobulbus sp. RNAcentral's name for it is "bacterial SSU rRNA". It matches the Rfam family "Bacterial small subunit ribosomal RNA", at positions 1018 to 1382 of the family's 1533-position model. Lineage: Bacteria; Pseudomonadati; Thermodesulfobacteriota; Desulfobulbia; Desulfobulbales; Desulfobulbaceae. The record is from RNAcentral.